GGUGGCUCAGUGGUAGAGCACUUGCCUUGCAUGCAAGAAGCCCUGGGUUCUGUUCCUCAGCACCA
RNAcentral lists this transfer RNA (65 nucleotides) under Dipodomys ordii (Ord's kangaroo rat). It matches the Rfam family "tRNA". From Rfam's summary of the family: Transfer RNA (tRNA) molecules are approximately 80 nucleotides in length. Lineage: Eukaryota; Metazoa; Chordata; Mammalia; Rodentia; Heteromyidae. The record is from Rfam by way of RNAcentral.